UGCCAGCAGCCGCGGUAAGACGGAGGGGGCUAGCGUUGUUCAGAAUUACUGGGCGUAAAGCGCGCGUAGGCGGCCUGUCGGGUCGGGCGUGAAAGCCCUGGGCUCAACCUGGGAAUUGCAUUCGAUACUGCAGAGCUAGAGUAUGGUAGAGGGAAGUGGAAUUUCCGGUGUAGCGGUGAAAUGCGUAGAUAUCGGAAGGAACACCGGUGGCGAAGGCGACUUCCUGGGCCAAUACUGACGCUGAGGUGCGAAAGCGUGGGGAGCGAACAGGAUUAGAUA
RNAcentral lists this ribosomal RNA (279 nucleotides) under uncultured bacterium. RNAcentral's name for it is "partial 16S ribosomal RNA". It matches the Rfam family "Bacterial small subunit ribosomal RNA", at positions 506 to 784 of the family's 1533-position model. The record is from RNAcentral.